Molecule: long non-coding RNA, 1452 nt
Filed under: Homo sapiens (human)
Lineage: Eukaryota; Metazoa; Chordata; Mammalia; Primates; Hominidae
Description: HSALNT0025861
Source: RNAcentral
GUAGGGAGCUCGGCGUCGUAAGCUCUGACUCUCAGAUCAGUGGGCACUAGAACUACGAACGCUUAUUCAUUAGGAAUAAAAGUGUCCCAAGCGGGACUUUCUCAGCUGAGAGAAAUGCUCCGUGUCUUGAUGGGAAUGUGAGUUUGUCGGCGGCCGCGUUGCCAAAGUCACUGAGUCACGCACAGAAGCACUGAGCAUCUCACUGCGUGUAAAUUCUGUCUCCACAACUGAGCAAGGGCUGAACACUAGUCACCUGUUUUGUGCAGGGGAGUGAGUUAGCAAUUCUGAAGCCAUCUUGUUUAACACAGGGGAAGUAUCUUGAGGGGAGUGGUCUGUCUCUGACUGCUGGGGAGGACGUGGACAUGCGUGGACUACGUUACAUCGGAGAAGUUUCAGCCUCCUAAACGCCUAUCAUCUGGCUCUGCCCACUGAGAGGGCCCAAGAGCAUCGAGCUCGCCAAGGGUCCGGAGCUUGGUUUCCAAAUCUCAUUCUCCACUGACGAGAACCAGGGUCCCGGAGAAAGAGCCGAGUCCAAGACCGAGGCGGGGGAGCCUUGAUGCCUUAGAGAGUGAGAAAGUCUUCAGAGAACGCUGGUGCGCGUUCAGAGACACUUAAACAGCUCAAAGAGGCUCCCAUCAGCCAGAGCUGGGACCAUUUUACAGCCAAACUGAGUGACCGUAGUAAAGUAUUGUGAUAAUUAACACGAUAAAAAUCCAUGAGUUUAGCCUGGUGUGGUGGCACCGUGGAGGCCAGAAGAUCCCUUGAGCCCAGGAGUUUGAGGCCAGCCUGGGCAUCCAGCCAGACCUGUCGCUACAAAAAGGAAAAACAAAAAAGACUCUAUAAGUCUAUACUGAUAUAAUUGAAACAAAUAAAUAAGUGGUGUUAGUAAGUGACUGAUUAAAUAAAUAAAUGAAAAGGAAAAGUUUUCACUCACAGCAGAAUGACAGCAAAUAAAUAUAGAAGGAACGGGUGGUGAGUUUAGAAAAUCAUGAGUGAAAAGAAACAGGACAAAAAGUAUCUUCCCACGAGUUACUCACUUAUUAGUUACAAAUGGAAAUGUUAUAACUUUGGUGGAGAAAACUGGCCAACAGCCCCUUAACCACGUGAUCAAAGUCAGCAUCAGCAUGGAGGCAGGACCGCCUCGCCUGCACCGGGGUAUUAACAGGAAGCCUGGAGAGGCCACUGGGGCUUCAGCGUGCUGCUGCUGCACAGACAACACCUGCAUGGGACGUGGAGGAGGCAUCAGCAAACCCAGAUUGAGGGGGCUGGAAGAAAUCACUGGGCUGAACUCGGAGUGUGUCAAGCUGCAUCUGAAAGGUGAGGGUGCAUGGGAUGGAAGAGGAUCUAGCGGGUGGACGUGAUCACAGCAGCUGCAUCUGGAAGGCGAGGGUGCAUGGGAUGGAAGCAGAUCUGGUGGGUGGAGGUGAGGACUACUGCAGCUGCAUCUGGAAG